This 532-nucleotide ribosomal RNA is filed under the name Yersinia pestis biovar Orientalis str. IP275. Its description in RNAcentral is "SSU rRNA". It matches the Rfam family "Bacterial small subunit ribosomal RNA", at positions 26 to 547 of the family's 1533-position model. Lineage: Bacteria; Pseudomonadati; Pseudomonadota; Gammaproteobacteria; Enterobacterales; Yersiniaceae. The record is from RNAcentral.
AGAUUGAACGCUGGCGGCAGGCCUAACACAUGCAAGUCGAGCGGCAGCGGGAAGUAGUUUACUACUUUGCCGGCGAGCGGCGGACGGGUGAGUAAUGUCUGGGGAUCUGCCUGAUGGAGGGGGAUAACUACUGGAAACGGUAGCUAAUACCGCGUGACCUCGCAAGAGCAAAGUGGGGGACCUUAGGGCCUCACGCCAUCGGAUGAACCCAGAUGGGAUUAGCUAGUAGGUGGGGUAAUGGCUCACCUAGGCGACGAUCCCUAGCUGGUCUGAGAGGAUGACCAGCCACACUGGAACUGAGACACGGUCCAGACUCCUACGGGAGGCAGCAGUGGGGAAUAUUGCACAAUGGGCGCAAGCCUGAUGCAGCCAUGCCGCGUGUGUGAAGAAGGCCUUCGGGUUGUAAAGCACUUUCAGCGAGGAGGAAGGGGUUGAGUUUAAUACGCUCAAUCAUUGACGUUACUCGCAGAAGAAGCACCGGCUAACUCCGUGCCAGCAGCCGCGGUAAUACGGAGGGUGCAAGCGUUAAUCG